Molecule: transfer-messenger RNA, 367 nt
Filed under: Gemmatimonadales
Lineage: Bacteria; Pseudomonadati; Gemmatimonadota; Gemmatimonadia
Also listed under: 1 other name
Description: Palsa-1233 sp016704275 Standard tmRNA
Rfam family: transfer-messenger RNA
About the family: Bacterial tmRNA, also known as 10Sa RNA or SsrA, is named for its dual tRNA and mRNA-like properties. Its role is to liberate the mRNA from a stalled ribosome.
Source: RNAcentral
GGGGGCGAUCGGCUUCGACGGGUUGGUAGAAGGCAUCGCCGCGUGCCCAGGUCCGGGGUCCUGGAUAAUCCCUCUGGAAAAAACACAAUUGCCAACACUGAUCUGGCGAUGGCUGCGUAAGCUGAGCUUUAAGUAGUUCGCUUCGCACCUCCGAGAUGAAAGCCCGUCCGGGGCGUUCUGAUCGGAAUCAUUAAUCCGGAAUAGCGACUGGUGGUCCUCCGACACCGGAAGCGAGACUUCAGGAGGUCACCGUUGGGAAGGUCGGCUCGGCACCGGCCCAACGCCAAGUUCGAAGCGGAGCCUACGCACGUAGACGCGGUCCCGGAAAUUGAUUCGGACCAGGGUUCGAUUCCCUGCGCCUCCAUUU